CAGCCGCCGCGGUAAUACGAAGGGGGCUAGCGUUGUUCGGAUUUACUGGGCGUAAAGCGCACGUAGGCGGAUCGAUCAGUCAGGGGUGAAAUCCCAGAGCUCAACUCUGGAACUGCCUUUGAUACUGUCGAUCUGGAGUAUGGAAGAGGUGAGUGGAAUUCCGAGUGUAGAGGUGAAAUUCGUAGAUAUUCGGAGGAACACCAGUGGCGAAGGCGGCUCACUGGUCCAUUACUGACGCUGAGGCGCGAAAGCGUGGGGAGCAAACAGGAUUAGAUACCCCAGUAGUCCCUGUCUCUUAUAC
Molecule: ribosomal RNA, 301 nt
Filed under: uncultured bacterium
Lineage: Bacteria
Description: partial 16S ribosomal RNA
Rfam family: Bacterial small subunit ribosomal RNA
Source: RNAcentral